AUUGAACGCUGGCGGCAUGCCUUACACAUGCAAGUCGAACGGCAGCACGGGAGCAAUCCUGGUGGCGAGUGGCGAACGGGUGAGUAAUAUAUCGGAACGUGCCCAGUCGUGGGGAUAACGUAGCGAAAGCUACGCUAAUACCGCAUACGAUCUAUGGAUGAAAGCGGGGGAUCGCAAGACCUCGCGCGAUUGGAGCGGCCGAUAUCAGAUUAGGUAGUUGGUGAGGUAAAGGCUCACCAAGCCGACGAUCUGUAGCUGGUCUGAGAGGACGACCAGCCACACUGGGACUGAGACACGGCCCAGACUCCUACGGGAGGCAGCAGUGGGGAAUUUUGGGACAAUGGGCGCAAGCCUGAUCCAGCAAUGCCGCGUGCAGGAUGAAGGCCUC
RNAcentral lists this ribosomal RNA (388 nucleotides) under uncultured bacterium. Its description in RNAcentral is "bacterial SSU rRNA". It matches the Rfam family "Bacterial small subunit ribosomal RNA", at positions 30 to 418 of the family's 1533-position model. The record is from RNAcentral.